AGCUUGCUUGUUAGAUAUAAAUAGCAAGUAACCCCUGCCCUAUGUCUYGAAUGAUAAAUGGCUGCAGUAUCCUGACUGUACGAAGGUAGCAUAAUCACUUGGCUCCUAAUUAGGGUCUGGAAUGAAGGGGGCCACGGGGCCUAACUGUCUCAAAAGGGAGUCUUGAAUUUAACUUUAUGGGUGAAGAGGCCCAUAUAAACUCGAAAGACGAGAAGACCCCAAAGAGCUUGUGGUUAAAAAGCUGCAGCAAGAAGUGCGGCAUUACCAUUUUGUUGGGGCGACACAGGGUCAUAAAAAGCACCCUUGAUGAACAAGAGUAUACAGGAUCCCCCCUAGAGGAAUAUAUGAAUAAAGUUACCUUGGGGAUAACAGCUUUUAUACCCCUCGAGGCCUUAUUGGGGGGGGUAAAAAGACCUCGAUGUUGGACUGGGGUGCACUAUCGGGGGCAGCCCCUUGCGCUUAGAAGGUCUGUUCRACCUUUAAAACCCCACAU
This 493-nucleotide ribosomal RNA is filed under the name Caecum debile. Its description in RNAcentral is "partial large subunit ribosomal RNA". The record is from RNAcentral. Lineage: Eukaryota; Metazoa; Mollusca; Gastropoda; Littorinimorpha; Caecidae.